This 433-nucleotide ribosomal RNA is filed under the name uncultured bacterium. RNAcentral's name for it is "partial 16S ribosomal RNA". It matches the Rfam family "Bacterial small subunit ribosomal RNA", at positions 29 to 507 of the family's 1533-position model. The record is from RNAcentral.
AACGAACGCUGGCGGCAUGCCUAACACAUGCAAGUCGAACGAGACCUUCGGGUCUAGUGGCGCACGGGUGCGUAACGCGUGGGAACCUGCCCUUAGGUUCGGAAUAACUCCCCGAAAGGGGUGCUAAUACCGGAUAAUGUCUUCGGACCAAAGAUUUAUCGCCUUUGGAUGGGCCCGCGUUGGAUUAGCUAGUUGGUAGGGUAAAAGCCUACCAAGGCGACGAUCCAUAGCUGGUCUGAGAGGAUGAUCAGCCACACUGGGACUGAGACACGGCCCAGACUCCUACGGGAGGCAGCAGUGAGGAAUAUUGGACAAUGGGCGAAAGCCUGAUCCAGCAAUGCCGCGUGAGUGAUGAAGGCCUUAGGGUUGUAAAGCUCUUUUACCUGGGAUGAUAAUGACAGUACCGGGAGAAUAAGCUCCGGCUAACUCCGUG